AUCUAAGCCAAGGAGAGAGAAGCCCCAUUAGCAGCAGCAUGCACAGUCCCUCCCUGCUUACCACCCCACCCCCACCUUCCCUGACAGCACCACUUCCCUAAGCAAGAACCAGAGCAACCUCAUGAAGGAAAACAGGAGUGAGCUCUGGAGGAGCAGCUGCUCUGAGCCUAGCCUGAUUGGUCUCCCAUGUUGCUGGGGCCAUAAGGAAAAUGCUGGCCAGCAGAGGGAGGAUGUGGUUGGAGUCAGUUGUGAACACAAAGACCCAUGGAAACAAACAGCUCACAGCUUCUUCCUCCUGAGCUUCUCUACUCCAGGCGUCUGGGGCCAACAGGGAAAUCCAGAGGCUACUCACCAGUCAGUUGCAUCCGGAUCUACUAUAGGCCAGGUCCUGGUCUUAUUGGAGUUUCCCUGGAGUCUGGCCCACAUGAGGCUCAGUGAAGAUUGGUACUCACAUGGCGGAGCGGGCUGAUGAAGGAGCUCCAGACUCCCCAGCUUCCCUGUUCUGACAUAUCUAUCCCCCAGAACUUGUUGGAUACAUUCCCCAUCCC
Molecule: long non-coding RNA, 548 nt
Organism: Felis catus (domestic cat)
Lineage: Eukaryota; Metazoa; Chordata; Mammalia; Carnivora; Felidae
Exons: 2
Source: RefSeq, a predicted model, not a curated record